AGCGAACGCUGGCGGCAGGCCUAACACAUGCAAGUCGAGCGCCCCGCAAGGGGAGCGGCAGACGGGCGAGUAACACGUGGGAACGUACCCUUCGGUUCGGAACAACCCAGGGAAACUUGGGCUAAUACCGGAUACGUCCGAAAGGAGAAAGAUUCAUCGCCGAGGGAUCGGCCCGCGUCUGAUUAGCUAGCUGGUGGGGUAACGGCCCACCAAGGCGACGAUCAGUAGCUGGUCUGAGAGGAUGAUCAGCCUCACUGGGACUGAGACACGGCCCAGACUCCUACGGGAGGCAGCAGUGGGGAAUAUUGGACAAUGGGCGCAAGCCUGAUCCAGCCAUGCCGCGUGGGUGAUGAAGGCCCUAGGGUUGUAAAGCCCUUUCGGCGGGGAAGAUAAUGACGGUACCCGCAGAAGAAGCCCCGGCUAACUUCGUGCCAGCAGCCGCCGUAA
This 447-nucleotide ribosomal RNA is filed under the name uncultured bacterium. RNAcentral's name for it is "partial 16S ribosomal RNA". It matches the Rfam family "Bacterial small subunit ribosomal RNA", at positions 29 to 523 of the family's 1533-position model. The record is from RNAcentral.